AUUGAACGCUGGCGGCAUGCUUUACACAUGCAAGUCGAACGGCAGCACGGGUGCUUGCACCUGGUGGCGAGUGGCGAACGGGUGAGUAAUGCAUCGGAACGUGCCCAUGAGUGGGGGAUAGCCCGGCGAAAGCCGGAUUAAUACCGCAUACGCCCUUAGGGGGAAAGCGGGGGAUCUUCGGACCUCGCGCUAUUGGAGCGGCCGAUGUCGGAUUAGCUAGUAGGUGAGGUAAAGGCUCACCUAGGCGACGAUCCGUAGCUGGUCUGAGAGGAUGACCAGCCACACUGGGACUGAGACACGGCCCAGACUCCUACGGGAGGCAGCAGUGGGGAAUUUUGGACAAUGGGCGCAAGCCUGAUCCAGCCAUGCCGCGUGAGUGAAGAAGGCCUCGGUUGUAAG
Molecule: ribosomal RNA, 399 nt
Filed under: uncultured bacterium
Lineage: Bacteria
Description: bacterial SSU rRNA
Rfam family: Bacterial small subunit ribosomal RNA
Source: RNAcentral